This 253-nucleotide ribosomal RNA is filed under the name uncultured bacterium. Its description in RNAcentral is "partial 16S ribosomal RNA". It matches the Rfam family "Bacterial small subunit ribosomal RNA", at positions 524 to 776 of the family's 1533-position model. The record is from RNAcentral.
UACGGAGGGUGCAAGCGUUAUCCGGAUUCACUGGGUUUAAAGGGAGCGUAGGAGGGCAGGUAAGUCAGUGGUGAAAUCUUCGAGCUUAACUCGGAAACUGCCGUUGAUACUAUCUGUCUUGAAUACCGUGGAGAUGAGCGGAAUAUGUCAUGUAGCGGUGAAAUGCUUAGAUAUGACAUAGAACACCAAUUGCGAAGGCAGCUCGUUACACGAAUAUUGACUCUGAGGCUCGAAAGCGCGGGGAUCAAACAGG